CCUACGGGGGGCAGCAGUGGGGAAUAUUGCACAAUGGGGGAAACCCUGAUGCAGCGACGCCGCGUGAGUGAAGAAGUAUUUCGGUAUGUAAAGCUCUAUCAGCAGGGAAGAAAAAAGACGGUACCUGACUAAGAAGCCCCGGCUAACUACGUGCCAGCAGCCGCGGUAAUACGGAGGAUGCGAGCGUUAUCCGGAUUUACUGGGUGUAAAGGGAGCGUAGACGGCAGGGCAAGUCUGGAGUGAAAGCCCGGGGCCCAACCCCGGGACUGCUUUGGAAACUGCCAUGCUGGAGUGCUGGAGAGGUA
Molecule: ribosomal RNA, 305 nt
Filed under: uncultured bacterium
Lineage: Bacteria
Description: bacterial SSU rRNA
Rfam family: Bacterial small subunit ribosomal RNA
Source: RNAcentral